Molecule: ribosomal RNA, 253 nt
Filed under: uncultured bacterium
Lineage: Bacteria
Description: partial 16S ribosomal RNA
Rfam family: Bacterial small subunit ribosomal RNA
Source: RNAcentral
UACAGAGGUCUCAAGCGUUGUUCGGAUUCAUUGGGCGUAAAGGGUGCGUAGGUGGCGCCAUAAGUCGGGUGUGAAAUCUCGGGGCUUAACUCCGAAACUGCAUUCGAUACUGUGGUGCUUGAGGACUGGAGAGGAGACUGGAAUUCAUGGUGUAGCAGUGAAAUGCGUAGAGAUCAUGAGGAAGACCAGUGGCGAAGGCGGGUCUCUGGACGGUUCCUGACACUGAGGCACGAAGGCCAGGGGAGCAAACGGG